This 253-nucleotide ribosomal RNA is filed under the name uncultured bacterium. RNAcentral describes it as "partial 16S ribosomal RNA". It matches the Rfam family "Bacterial small subunit ribosomal RNA", at positions 524 to 776 of the family's 1533-position model. The record is from RNAcentral.
UACGUAGGGUGCAAGCGUUGUCCGGGAUCAUUGGGCGUAAAGCGCGCGUAGGUGGCUUCGUAAGUCCGUUGUGAAAGUCAAAGGCUCAACCUUUGAAUGCCGAUGGAUACUGCGAAGCUAGAGUACGGAAGAGGCGAGUGGAAUUCCUGGUGUGGCGGUGGAAUGCGCAGAUAUCAGGAGGAACACCAGUAGCGAAGGCAGCUCGCUGGGACGUUACUGACACUAAGGCGCGAAAGCGUGGGGAGCAAACAGG